CUAAGUCACUAAUUUGCUCAGAUUGGGUUUAAACCUGUGAUCCUCAGUGUGCUGAGAUUACAGACGUGCUCCACUGUGCCCAGUUAAGGGUACAGUUUUGUUUUUUGUUUGAUACCGGGGAUCGAACUCUGGACCUUGCACUUGUGAGAGGAAGAACACACAUGUGAGUUUACUCCACAGACAGAGAGCAGCCUCACAGCACAUGGAAAGACCUGGCCGUCUACAGCGUCACUGAAAUCACUGAGAGCGAGUCAGGUCCACUGUGGGCCCUUAAGAGAGCUCCAGACUGCGGAUGGGUUUCAGACGCUUUUCUCAAAUUAUUUCCUCAUUGCUCGAAGGCUCAGGAUCUGUCCUCAUCCCAGGGGGCCUGAGACUCUUCCGUUCCCUACUCUCAGCUCUCUAAACAGCUUCCUGACCUGCGCUGGCCCAGGCCCCGUGGGGUCCCCAGCCUUCCUGGCUUCCGCCUGUCCCUCUCUGUGACCCCAAUUGGCAGAUUCAGCCUGACAAGGGGGCUUCGGGAGUUGCCUGGAGCUCUGCGAGGUGAGAGAGGAGCAGAUUGUAAUUAUAUUGUCAUCGUUGUUCCCAUUUUUCUUUUAAACUCUGGUCCUGUUGAAUCCUGAAAUAAGAACUGCACCUUAAUCCCCAGUGUGUGGCUUCCAGGUCCUCACCUGUUUUAUUUUCAUUUUGAAGGACUUUAUUAUUUAUCCACAUAUGUAGGCAGAGAUGUCCCAUACCUCCUGUUCCCUGGUCAACAUCCCCAGUGGAGCAGCACGUGGUGCAGGGGGUGGACUGACACUGGCCUGUCACUGUCACCCAGAGCGGCCAGACAGUGUAUAAUGGUGGCACGACAUCGCAGUCCUGACAACAUCUUGAAGAAUAAACCUUCUGCCCUCCACGCCCUCUGUGCUUCCCAUCAUCUUCCCCUGGACCCUGGCAACCAUUCCUGUCACUGCCGCUGUAUUUGGCCUCUUCCGUGAAGUCUCAGAGUCUACUUCAUCCUGGGCAUUCAAGGUCCCUCCAUCUUUCUCCGUGUCUUGAAAGCGCGUUCCUUUUUGGCGCUGGCUAACAUCCCAUGGUCUGGAUGCGCCAUAGCUUGUCCGCUCCCCCGCUCAAGGGCAAUUUCCAAGUUCCAAGGUCAGUCUCA
Molecule: long non-coding RNA, 1144 nt
Filed under: Heterocephalus glaber (naked mole-rat)
Lineage: Eukaryota; Metazoa; Chordata; Mammalia; Rodentia; Bathyergidae
Description: lncRNA (ENSHGLG00100025787.2)
Source: RNAcentral